AUUCACAUAAUUUUUAUGUAAUAGCAUCUUAUGAUUUCAGAUAGAUAAAAGUUAAUGCUCAUUAUCAUAGGCCUGAUACACAUUAUUGGAUUUUGAAUGUGUAUUCCAAACAGAUCCUGUUUUAGAGCUAAAAAUAUUUAAAGCUAAUAAAUAUAAAACGUUUUUUGAAAAAAUUAUGUUGAAGCUCUUUACACAACCAUUUUAUUCUACUUUCUGUCAAAGCUUAUGUGCUUCCAAGGGAGUACAGUAAUUUGUGCAUUUUCUAUUUUUAAAUCUUUCAUUGUUCUAGUUAAAUAUUAUGAGUGUAUGCCAAUUCCUAAAAGAGUCAUGCAGAGAUAGUAGGUGCAAUUGUGUUGUACUCAAAAUAAAGUUCAUGGCUAAAGCAAAUAUUUAACAACUGUCAAAUACUGGGUUGCAUGUAGAAAAACUAAUCCUGUAUAGCUCUCAUAAAUUAAAACUUUAAACUAAACCUUCCUUCUGUGCUUUGUAAUUAGAAAACCAAAUGAGGAACUUUUCUGGGCAGCCCGGUUUAAGAAACCCACCUGUUUUCUCUUUUUAAAAAUAUAUUUUUGAAGUUAAUAUGUUUAAGUAAAGGAUUUCAAUGGCUCAGAAAACUGGAAUUGAAUUGUACACUAAAGAAUAACCCUCUCACAUUAAAUAUGACUAUGCAUAUUUGUGAUAUAUUGCAAUUUGAUAACUGGUUUAGGAGGCAUUAAUUAUAAAUAAGGUGAACUGAAAAAGAAUCAAGCACAGGUUAUGCAAAGAAGACAUCACCUGCAGAAUGGCAACCAUCCCCGUAGACCACCCAUCAAGGCUCGCGUCCAAUGACCUUUGUAUUUUCUCCACAUCAGCCACCCACCAUCAUGGCUUCAUCCAGGCCUUUGUCUAUAUCCAGCUGACAAGCUAUACUAAAAUAUUAAAUUCAGGCAUUGAGCUCUCUAAUCACCAGUCCCAUUCUAUUAGCCUCACCACAUCUAUCUUCAGUCAUUCAAGGACAUUUUGUCUCUUGAUUCCUCUCUUGUCUCCCUAUUACUACCACCUCGAUCCAAAUUAAAUUCCAUGUUACAUUAUUUCAAAAACUUGCUUCCUAAUUCCUCAACCCUCUUCUCCUACUGUCCUUCAGUCUGAGUACUUGAAAAACCCAGCCUUGGCUCAAUCUAACUCUUCAUCUAUUCUGAAAUAAUACCUAUAUUGCUCAGUGCCUCUGGAGAAAUAUCAUACCAACUUGCAGAUUGGUGUCAGCCUAAAUGAAGAAUUUUCAAACUCAAGUGGGUUUUCAAAGAGUUCUGACAAUCCUAUUGUUUCCAAAUAUUCAGAAGCAUCUCUUUUCUUCUUAAAUCUGCAGUCUCAUCACUCACUCUAACUUUCAUCAAGUGACCUUGCUUUCACCUUCACAAGGAAAAGAGAAGCCAUCAAAGAAGAAUAGCCUCAAUCUCCUGUUCAGAUUACAGACUUCCCUGCAUGCCCACCAUACUUCCCUCCUUCCCUCCAAGGACUAAGAAACAGUCUCUUCUGUCUAAGCCUAGCCCUUCUAUAAGGGGGAUCCUAUUUCCUCUCACCUUCUUGGGGGACCAUGCUCAAGUCGCCAGCUUCUUUUUCUACGAUAUCCUCAAUCUCUCUUUCCAUACUGACUUAUUCUCACAAAUAAUGAAAUGAUCAAGUCUUCUCAAGAUAAAAGGAAAAAAAUAAAAACUUUCUGGAUGUUUCUCUGUGGGCCCUACCCCUUCCCUCUGCACCUUUUGAUAGCUAACCUUUCUGAAAGAAUACUCAUCAUUUCCUUUCCCUCACCUCCCAUUCAUUCUUAAUCAAUCUGUAAUCUGGCUUCUGUCUCCACCACACCACUGAAAGGACCCUCACCAAAGUCACAAAUGACCAUUGUGUCAAUCAAGAUUCCAGCAGUAAAGAGAUGGGACAUUCAAGUUUGAAAAGAAUAUAAUAAACAGACUACUAAAAGCCACUGAUAGACUAUAGUGAAACUUCAAGGUAUUGUGCAAUUCUCCAGAGCUAAUAAAUGCAGGAAGCUCUUUCUCACCCUCACCCAAAAGGAGGGGGGCAGAGAGAACUGCCUGAAAGGACCAGUGACAUUAAAUCAAGGAAUGCACAGCCUGCAGCAAAUGCACAGAGAAGAAGCUGGUGAAAAUAUCCCCAUUGAUUCUCUUCCCUUUGCCCUCCUUCUCAUCUCCUGCCAGUCCUCACCAUUGGUCUAAUUCAAACAGAAGACAGAAUGCAAUCCCCGGGUUCACAUAGGCUGCAUCAUAGAUGGUGUUAUACUUCUCUCUGAAGUUUUAUCUUUAUUCUGAGGGCAACGAUAAGCCACAGAAUAUUCUUAAACAGCAGAGUGAUAGGCAGAAGUUGUGUUUUAGAGAGAGUAAUCUUCCUGCUGUGUAUGGGAUAAACCAAAAGAGAGGAGAACUUGGAAGUUGGGAAAACAAUUUUGAAGAAUGAACAAAUUCGGGCAACAGGUGAUACUUUAUAAGAAUGCAAAGAAAGAUACAGCUAUGGGAGCUGUUUGGAGAAUAAGAAGGGCAACACGUGGACAUUAAGGGCAAAGUAGAAGAAGUAAAACAUAACUAAGAUUUUGAUCCUGGUAACUAAAAAAGUUAGUUCUGUCACUUACCAGAAUAGGGAAGUUGGAAAGGGGAAUUAAUUUGAGGGAGACAUAAAAAGAAAUUAGAGACUGCAAUGAGGUCAUAACGUCUAAGUAGAAAUGUUCUAAGAAAUGAGCUAUAGAAUGAGACUGAAAUGUCUCUGUGGUUUCUCAAGGGACAACACCUUUUUUCUGACCCUAAACCGUGUUCUGGCACCAAGAGAAGCACUCUAGAAUCUGAGUUCUUUCUGUGAGCUGCUGCCUAAAUUCAGAGUCCUAGAGAAGACUAUUAAUGAUGGUACACAGAAGACAGAGAGAGAUAAACUGCAUCAGUUUCUUUAUGUGCAGGAGGACCUACAUGAUCUUAGAAGAGAACCGACCUUUUAAAACCUCAUUUCAACCUCAACGUAUGACCUCAGAGAAACUCAUUUGCUCUCUGGAAAGUUUUUAAGAUUUACAACAGAGGAAAAAAAAUCCUUCAGCUUGGGCAAGUUCUGAUGCAACAUAAAAGUAAUGCUGUUAAAAUUUCAAUCAUUGCCAUGGUUUAGCAGUGUGUUCACAUCAACCACAUGUACCCAGAAAGUCUGUCAACUCAGCAAUAACCAAGAAUUCUGCUUAUUACUCUCACUACAAAAAUCCAUGAAUUAAAUUAUAACUGUUUGCAUUUGAACGUGUGUAAUCACAUUUUUACAUUAUGCUCUUUUAAAAGAACCGUUUAUCUUGUGCUUGUUUCACAAACUUAAAAAUCAAGGAUUCUUUCUUUAUGGGCUGAUGGAAAUAUUCUAAAGUCAGACUGUGGUGAUAUUUCACAACUUUUUAAAUUUAUAAAAAUCAUCGAAUUGUACACUUAAAAUGAGGCAAUUUUGUGGGAUGCAAAUUAUGAAUCAAUAAAGCUGC
Molecule: long non-coding RNA, 3484 nt
Filed under: Equus asinus (donkey)
Lineage: Eukaryota; Metazoa; Chordata; Mammalia; Perissodactyla; Equidae
Description: lncRNA (ENSEASG00005027760.1)
Source: RNAcentral